This 253-nucleotide ribosomal RNA is filed under the name uncultured bacterium. RNAcentral describes it as "partial 16S ribosomal RNA". It matches the Rfam family "Bacterial small subunit ribosomal RNA", at positions 524 to 776 of the family's 1533-position model. The record is from RNAcentral.
UACGUAGGGUGCAAGCGUUGUCCGGAAUUAUUGGGCGUAAAGAGCUCGUAGGCGGUCUGUCGCGUCGGCUGUGAAAUCCCGAGGCUCAACCUCGGGUCUGCAGUCGAUACGGGCAAACUAGAGUAUUGCAGGGGAGACUGGAAUUCCUGGUGUAGCGGUGAAAUGCGUAGAUAUCUGGAGGAACACCGGUGGCGAAGGCGGCAUCCUGGACCGGCAUUGACGCUGAUGAGCGAAAGCUAGGGGAGCAAACGGG